AACGAACGCUGGCGGCAUGCCUAACACAUGCAAGUCGAACGAGACCUUCGGGUCUAGUGGCGCACGGGUGCGUCACGCGUGGGAACCUGCCCUUAGGUUCGGAAUAACUCCCCGAAAGGGGUGCUAAUACCGGAUAAUGUCUUCGGACCAAAGAUUUAUCGCCUUUGGAUGGGCCCGCGUUGGAUUAGCUAGUUGGUAGGGUAAAAGCCUACCAAGGCGACGAUCCAUAGCUGGUCUGAGAGAAUGAUCAGCCACACUGGGACUGAGACACGGCCCAGACUCCUACGGGAGGCAGCAGUGGGUAAUAUUGGACAAUGGGCGAAAGCCUGAUCCAGCAAGGCCGCGUGAGUGAUGAAGUCCUUAGGGUUGUAAAGCUCUUUUACCCGUGAUGAUAAUGACAGUACCGGGAGAAUAAGCUCCGGCUAACUCCGUG
Molecule: ribosomal RNA, 433 nt
Filed under: uncultured bacterium
Lineage: Bacteria
Description: partial 16S ribosomal RNA
Rfam family: Bacterial small subunit ribosomal RNA
Source: RNAcentral